GUCCCAGUAAACCAGCAUGAACAACACCAGGACCCUGGAACUGAAGCAGAGAGAUGUCUCAACGGCUGCGCUCAUUAAUUCAUGAAUGUGCUGCCGAUGAAGACGCUCACUGUAACUGCUGUGGAGGGGCUGCAGGGAUCCACAGCGAACACAGAGUGGAUUUUGGAGUCAUGCAAAACCAAAAUAACCGGAUUACUACCAUCAACUUGACAGUCUCUACCAGACAUCAUCUGAAAA
Long non-coding RNA from Anoplopoma fimbria (sablefish), 237 nucleotides. RefSeq lists it as uncharacterized. NCBI's taxonomy places the organism in Eukaryota, Metazoa, Chordata, Actinopteri, Perciformes, Anoplopomatidae. The transcript is spliced from 3 exons. The record is from RefSeq and is a predicted model, not a curated record.